UCCUACGGGAGGCAGCAGUGGGGAAUUUUGGACAAUGGGGGAAACCCUGAUCCAGCCAUCCCGCGUGUAUGAUGAAGGCCUUCGGGUUGUAAAGUACUUUUGGCAGAGAAGAAAAGGUACCUCCUAAUACGAGGUACUGCUGACGGUAUCUGCAGAAUAAGCACCGGCUAACUACGUGCCAGCAGCCGCGGUAAUACGUAGGGUGCAAGCGUUAAUCGGAAUUACUGGGCGUAAAGCGUGUGUAGGCGGUUCGGAAAGAAAGAUGUGAAAUCCCAGGGCUUAACCUUGGAACUGCAUUUUUAACUGCCGAGCUAGAGUAUGUCAGAGGGGGGUAGAAUUCCACGUGUAGCAGUGAAAUGCGUAGAUAUGUGGAGGAAUACCGAUGGCGAAGGCAGCCCCCUGGGAUAAUACUGACGCUCAGACACGAAAGCGUGGGGAGCAAACAGGAUUAGAUACCCUGGUAGUCCACGCCCUAAACGAUGUCAACUAGCUGUUGGGGCCGUUAGGCCUUAGUAGCGCAGCUAACGCGUGAAGUUGACCGCCUGGGGAGUACGGUCGCAAGAUUAAAACUCAAAGGAAUUGACGGGGACCCGCACAAGCGGUGGAUGAUGUGGAUUAAUUCGAUGCAACGCGAAAAACCUUACCUACCCUUGACAUGUCUGGAAUCCCGAAGAGAUUUGGGAGUGCUCGCAAGAGAACCGGAACACAGGUGCUGCAUGGCUGUCGUCAGCUCGUGUCGUGAGAUGUUGGGUUAAGUCCCGCAACGAGCGCAACCCUUGUCAUUAGUUGCUACGCAAGAGCACUCUAAUGAGACUGCCGGUGACAAACCGGAGGAAGGUGGGGAUGACGUCAAGUCCUCAUGGCCCUUAUGGGUAGGGCUUCACACGUCAUACAAUGGUCGGGACAGAGGGUCGCCAACCCGCGAGGGGGAGCCAAUCUCAGAAACCCGAUCGUAGUCCGGAUCGCAGUCUGCAACUCGACUGCGUGAAGUCGGAAUCGCUAGUAAUCGCGGAUNNNNNNNNNNCCGUCACACCAUGGGAGUGGGUUUCACCAGAAGUAGGUAGCCUAACCGUAAGGAGGGCGCUUACCACGGUGGGAUUCAUGACUGGGGUGAAGUCGUAACAAGGUAGCCGUAUCGGAAGGUGCGGCUGGAUCACCUCCUUU
This 1164-nucleotide ribosomal RNA is filed under the name Alcaligenes faecalis. RNAcentral describes it as "bacterial SSU rRNA". It matches the Rfam family "Bacterial small subunit ribosomal RNA", at positions 337 to 1533 of the family's 1533-position model. The record is from RNAcentral. Lineage: Bacteria; Pseudomonadati; Pseudomonadota; Betaproteobacteria; Burkholderiales; Alcaligenaceae.